RNAcentral lists this ribosomal RNA (250 nucleotides) under uncultured bacterium. Its description in RNAcentral is "partial 16S ribosomal RNA". It matches the Rfam family "Bacterial small subunit ribosomal RNA", at positions 524 to 773 of the family's 1533-position model. The record is from RNAcentral.
UACGGAGGGUGCAAGCGUUAUCCGGAAUCAUUGGGUUUAAAGGGUCCGCAGGCGGAUUUAUAAGUCAGUGGUGAAAGCCUGAUGCUUAACAUCAGAACUGCCAUUGAUACUGUAAGUCUUGAAUUCGAUCGAAGUGGGCGGAAUAUGACAUGUAGCGGUGAAAUGCUUAGAUAUGUCAUAGAACACCGAUAGCGAAGGCAGCUCACUAGGUCUGGAUUGACGCUCAGGGACGAAAGCGUGGGGAGCAAAC